RNAcentral lists this ribosomal RNA (297 nucleotides) under Pseudo-nitzschia fraudulenta. RNAcentral describes it as "partial Bacterial large subunit ribosomal RNA". It matches the Rfam family "Bacterial large subunit ribosomal RNA", at positions 1669 to 1950 of the family's 2925-position model. Lineage: Eukaryota; Bacillariophyta; Bacillariophyceae; Bacillariales; Bacillariaceae. The record is from RNAcentral.
AGGUAGAGAAUACUAAGGCGCUUGAGAGAACUCGGGUGAAGGAACUCGGCAAAAUUGUACCGUAACUUCGGGAGAAGGUACGCCCUUUUUGGUGAUCGGACUUGCUCCGUAAGCUAGAGAGGGCCGAAGAUACCAGUUAGCUGCGACUGUUUAUUAAAAACACAGCACUGUGCUAAAUCGAAAGAUGACGUAUACGGUGUGACACCUGCCCGGUGCCGGAAGGUUAAUUGAUGGGGUUAGCGUAAGCGAAGCUCUUGAUCGAAGCCCCGGUAAACGGCGGCCGUAACUAUGACGGUC